RNAcentral lists this ribosomal RNA (253 nucleotides) under uncultured bacterium. RNAcentral's name for it is "partial 16S ribosomal RNA". It matches the Rfam family "Bacterial small subunit ribosomal RNA", at positions 524 to 776 of the family's 1533-position model. The record is from RNAcentral.
UACGAAGGGGGCUAGCGUUGUUCGGAAUCACUGGGCGUAAAGCGCACGUAGGCGGAUGUGCCAGUCAGGGGUGAAAUCCCGGAGCUCAACUCCGGAACUGCCUCUGAUACAGCACGUCUUGAGUUCGAGAGAGGUGGGUGGAAUUCCUAGUGUAGAGGUGAAAUUCGUAGAUAUUAGGAAGAACGCCGGUGGCGAAGGCGGCCCACUGGCUCGAUACUGACGCUGAGGUGCGAAAGCGUGGGGAGCAAACAGG